RNAcentral lists this small RNA (664 nucleotides) under Malus domestica (apple). RNAcentral describes it as "sRNA MD08G0081700". The record is from RNAcentral. Lineage: Eukaryota; Viridiplantae; Streptophyta; Magnoliopsida; Rosales; Rosaceae.
CGGCAGACCUAAAAAAACUGGAUUCACCAAGACCCUCCAGUUGUCUGGUUUAGCUGCUAGCAGUUACAGGGUUUAACCACUACAUUGCAGCUCACUAUGGGCGGCUGCAAAAAUCAUCAAAAAGGAAGAGUGCAAAAACAGGUAAUUUCAAAAUUAGUUGAGGUGUUUAGUUUAUGCAUGCAUGUUUCGUUGACCUUUUGAAGUUUUUUUGUUUUUUGGUUAAUCCUACUCACCUGACUAUUGCGGGUGCUGCUAACGAACGCAGGGCUGACACAUUCUCUUUAGGGGAAGUGCGAUGGGAAGGGAGAGAAAGCUGCAUGCAUUAUUAGAACCGGUGGAUGGCUGAUGCAUUACAAAUUUCACCAGAAUGGUCUUUUCCUUUGCAUUCGGGCAUAAUGAAGAUCGUCUGGGCAUAGGCACAUUAAUUGUGCGCGUGUGUGUACGCUAUAAUGCAAAGAGCUCCAGACUUGUUCGAGGUCUUCAGUUGAAGUCAGAACCAAGAAUACAACACAAGUUGCAACCUUAAUACAACUUCUUGUAUAUUUCUCAGAAAAAUGCUGUCGAAUGACUAGAAUAUUAUUCACUAGACCUACAGAGUACAGUGCAAAAUUUUAUGUAAAUACUAAAUAGAGGUCGCACUUGGUGCGAUGGCAAGUGCCUUCGC